AUGUAACUAAGAGCCAAUAAAGUGAGGCCCUAACGGGAACUAAAAAACGUUGGUGUAAUUGUUUGUUGAAAUUAAUUAUCUAUGAGGAUUUGGUU
Ipomoea nil (Japanese morning glory) is the source of this 95-nucleotide long non-coding RNA. RefSeq lists it as uncharacterized. The record is from RefSeq and is a predicted model, not a curated record. The transcript has 3 exons. NCBI's taxonomy places the organism in Eukaryota, Viridiplantae, Streptophyta, Magnoliopsida, Solanales, Convolvulaceae.